CCUACGGGUUGCUGCAGUGGGGAAUAUUGGACAAUGGGCGAAAGCCUGAUCCAGCCAUGCCGCGUGUGUGAAGAAGGCCUUCGGGUUGUAAAGCACUUUCAGUGGGGAAGAAAGCCUUGGGGCUAAUACCCUCGAGGAAGGACAUCACCCACAGAAGAAGCACCGGCUAACUCCGUGCCAGCAGCCGCGGUAAUACGGAGGGUGCGAGCGUUAAUCGGAAUUACUGGGCGUAAAGCGCGCGUAGGCGGUCUGAUAAGCCGGUUGUGAAAGCCCCGGGCUCAACCUGGGAACGGCAUCCGGAACUGGCAGGCUAGAGUGCAGGAGAGGAAGGUAGAAUUCCCGGUGUAGCGGUGAAAUGCGUAGAGAUCGGGAGGAAUACCAGUGGCGAAGGCGGCCUUCUGGACUGACACUGACGCUGAGGUGCGAAAGCGUGGGUAGCAAACAGGAUUAGAUACCCGGGUAGUC
RNAcentral lists this ribosomal RNA (465 nucleotides) under Vreelandella stevensii. RNAcentral's name for it is "partial 16S ribosomal RNA". It matches the Rfam family "Bacterial small subunit ribosomal RNA", at positions 338 to 795 of the family's 1533-position model. The record is from RNAcentral. Lineage: Bacteria; Pseudomonadati; Pseudomonadota; Gammaproteobacteria; Oceanospirillales; Halomonadaceae.